Eucalyptus grandis is the source of this 3587-nucleotide long non-coding RNA. RefSeq lists it as uncharacterized. Lineage: Eukaryota; Viridiplantae; Streptophyta; Magnoliopsida; Myrtales; Myrtaceae. The transcript has 2 exons. The record is from RefSeq and is a predicted model, not a curated record.
UUAAGUCUAGCUCUCUGCCUCUCUCUCUCUCUAUCUCUCUCUCUCUCUCUCUCUCUCUCUCUCUCUCUUUCCCUUCCCAGAUCUCAACCCUGUGUCAUCUUGCUUUUGAGUUUCAUCUCCUUCUUCUUCCUCCCUUUCGUCUCUGCAAUUGAUUCUCAAGAAGUUUCAAGCUUUUUCUUCACCACUUUCCUCUUCUUGAUUGACUUCUUUUGUGUCUUUUCCCUUUUGCCCCCAUUUCCAGAUCAGCUGCGAGCGCUACUUUUGAUUAACACUUGAACAACCCUGAAAUCAUCCUCCUCUUUUCGGCCAGAAACUGAGCAAAGCUAAUAUUUUUAAUUUCCUUUUUCCUCACCUUUUUAUCUUUUUCUGACCUGAGGAUCUAUGAACUCUGGCAAGCUGCCCAAUCACGAUGCAGCUUUGUCGAUGUUGUGUAUUAGUUCCCUAACAUUGAAAUCUGUACGAGCCAACUCUUCCUUACUCGCUCAGAUUCUCUUCCUCAAAAUAUCUAAAAGAGGGCCAAAGUUUCUGUUUUUUCUUUUAGCAAACAAGACUAAGGAGACAUGGGGUUCAUCUUCUUUUCUGUUCUCUUCUUGUCCUCCCUAUUUGCGAAUACUGGUUUCGAUGCAUUUUGAUGGAGCAUCCGGGGGUGCUUAUGGAUCGACAGUCGUUCUUUGCGGGUGUAGCAUCAUCAAGAUUCACAUAUAGUUUUGCAUCUUCCUCUUGGGGUAAGAUUCCUAAAGAUUAUACUUGAAUUCAUGAUAAAAUCGUGGGCAAGUGCAAAAGAAAGCUCCGUAGGAAGUGUGAGAAUCUUGAUGAUGCUGCAUCGGCAAUAAAACGACUCUUGCAAAGUACAGCACGAAACACUCGCUGUCUCACGCCUCCCCAUUUCCCACUUUAGGCCUUAACGAGGAGAUACUAACAGUUCCCUUUUUGCAUCAGUACCAUAUAUAUAUUAAAAUACCCAGAAAAAUAUCAGGGUAUGAUCUAUUUGCAUUCCGCUAAUUUUUUUCUACUGUUUGGUCUCUACUUGGAGGAAGAAACCCUAAAGAUUCUAUAGGCUGUUUUAUAGAGCAACUUGGGGCUAUUCUCCGACAUUUGCAAGAUUUAUUUUUGAUCUUCUGAGGAAAGAAGAGCCUUCAGUGGGAAAAUGAUCACUGAUUUCUAGGCGAUACCAAUGUUGAAGAGGCUGAUUCAAAAGCUGGGAAGAGAGGCGAUAUGAAUACAACUUUUUCAUUGGGGACUAAUGGAAUGAGCUGAAAAUAGCAAAGUUCAACAGAAGUUUGUUUCUACAUGACACCUAUUUAGGGUAAGUACCACUUUCAACACAUGUGAACCUAUUAGCAGUGCCUUCUACUAAUAAUUGGGACAGAUUUUUGCCCCCAGUGGGCAGGUUUGAUUGCUCGAAACACCCACCUCCCAAAUGGAAGUUAUACUUAGACAACAUUACUAAAAUGCGCAUGUUAGUCGAUGGACGAACAUUUAAUAAAAUGGAGGAAUCGCAAGGUGAACCUAAUUAGAAGUAAAGGAAUCCUCAAUGUAGCUUUUCAUCUGGACCAAAGGUCAACCUUGAUGUAGUUUUAGUUGUAUGCAUAUGGAAAGUGUAUAGUUCGAUAUAUGGAACACAUAUAUGCGAAUCAAGUGGGGAAACUAAUGUCCUGUUGUCGCUGCUUGUUGCUUGGCCUGAGCAGUAUUCAUCGUCCAUCACUCUCUUCAGUGGACCAACCCACAAAUUGGGCAUUUCGAUACACAUGGACCCUCAUUGACAUACUCAGCUCAGACCUCAGUUCCACCUAUUUUUGCCUCUCCUCAAUGAUAGUACUCAAAGCGAUUAAAGUUUCCUUCCCAAUGUCUUUAUUGUCAUCCCCUUGUGACAAUGAUGACUCGGUCCAGUUGAAGAUAUUAUAGAUUUUUGUGCGGCUCUUUCGUUAUCCAAUUCCCAUUUUACAGAUGCAGAGUAUGAUCCGCAUCACCGUCUGAAGAUUUGAGCGUGUAAAGAAACCCGCUUUACCACAAGAAGUUUUUCUUCCCUUAUGAGGUCUCGAGUUUGCAAUAAUCUUUCACUGACGUCUUUUGGAUCCGCAAGCUUCAGACUCGUCUUCCAACUAGAAGCAAACAAGUAAUACUAGUGAAAUCAGUCGGCAAUUCAGUUUUAAAGCUGUUGACAUAAGGCCCCACAAGUGAGGGAAAAGUUUCAAAUUUUCGGCCAUUUUCUCCCAAGCCUUUACUAUCCCCAUCCCUAUCUUUCAAGACAAAGCCUUGAGGCAUUUGACGAAGUUCUCUUUCAAUUGGUCGGACUGUAGCCAACGGGCCAUGAAUUAAUGAACGGAUAUGUGCAUUGUUAUCAUGCAAUGGGGUGCAUAAUCUGUAUAGUUUCCUUGAAUAUACAUUCUUAUCUACGGGUAAUUAUAUAGCCUGUAUGGCUUUAUUAGUAAGAAUACCACAAAUAUACGUUAAUGAUUUAGUGGCUGGGUGUUAAUUGCAUAUUCACGUUGGUCUGCCAAAUUGAUGAAUGAAGUACUUGAUUGUCAUUUAAUGCAUCCAUGGCCACACAGGUGUAUGUAAUUUGAACCCACCUGAUUAAGAAAAGAUCAAAAUGCGGAAAUUCGUUGAAAUGAUUCUUGCAGUACUGUUGGACGAAUUCUCUUCUUUUUUUGAGCCUAAGACUUAAAUUGUGUCAAGAUUCAAGAAACAUGUUCACCUUAUGUAUUCAUAGCAUACACAAAAUAUUGAUAUAACUGCAUCAAAUAGACGAUGGGAUAUAGAACACCAAACAAAAUGACGAGAAUAACAAUCCAAAAAUGGUAUGAGAGGAACGGUGUUGGGAUUCUUUCUCAGGUUUUGUGAUCUGUAGCUAUGUUAGACAGACGGUCUUUCCUAAAAGUUAUUCAAAGCUAUGAAGUAAUGAGUCCACGACGUGUAUAUAGCAGUAUUUCUACAACAGGCUGUACUAGGACUAUUUCUCGAUGUCUAGUGCUUCUCUUUCUCCUCUCCUAUCUUUCUCUAUCUUUUAUUCUGUGAGCGUCGGGAUAAUCAUCCAUAGCAAGUUUCAACUUGGUAUGAGGAAGUAUUUCGUUGAUUGGAAUAAAGGUAAUUUAUUCAUCUUAAGAGCUUGCAUGAGAAGUGUCAUUUUCUGUGAAUAUUAUUUCUGACAUCAAAUGAAGUAUAGAAGCCAACGUUUGAUAUAGGUCCACAUGUGGUUCUACAUCCCUAGAAGUUUGUAUGCAGAAGUGAUGAUCGAGCUGGGCACCAAAGUCCCUCACCAGCUUGUUAUAUAGUAGAAGCUCUCUCCAAUUCUUCAAUCGGCUUGGCCGGUUUUGGCAACGAUUCCGCAACUUGUGGGGAAAUAACAGCCACGAUCUAUCACUGUGUCGUGGUCAACAUGCGUUGUGGAAACUCCGUGUAUGCAUUUCACAUGUUAAUUUCUGUAUAGUUACUUCAGACUAUCAAAUGAAAAUGUCUUAGAAAUGAAAAAAUGCAUACCAUAUUGAUCUUACUAGUCGAUGUUGCAUUCUCCUGUAAGAUGACGGCCAUCAUGUUAGACAUGUCCUUGUUAAUUCGUUCGUGUAAGGAUGAAGAGUUUUUGAUAA